Molecule: ribosomal RNA, 895 nt
Filed under: Salmonella enterica
Lineage: Bacteria; Pseudomonadati; Pseudomonadota; Gammaproteobacteria; Enterobacterales; Enterobacteriaceae
Description: partial 23S ribosomal RNA
Rfam family: Bacterial large subunit ribosomal RNA
Source: RNAcentral
AUGGGCAGGUUGAAGGUUGGGUAACACUAACUGGAGGACCGAACCGACUAAUGUUGAAAAAUUAGCGGAUGACCUGUGGCUGGGGGUGAAAGGCCAAUCAAACCGGGAGAUAGCUGGUUCUCCCCGAAAGCUAUUUAGGUAGCGCCUCGUGAAUUCAUCUCCGGGGGUAGAGCACUGUUUCGGCUAGGGGGCCAUCCCGGCUUACCAACCCGAUGCAAACUGCGAAUACCGGAGAAUGUUAUCACGGGAGACACACGGCGGGUGCUAACGUCCGUCGUGAAGAGGGAAACAACCCAGACCGCCAGCUAAGGUCCCAAAGUCAUGGUUAAGUGGGAAACGAUGUGGGAAGGCCCAGACAGCCAGGAUGUUGGCUUAGAAGCAGCCAUCAUUUAAAGAAAGCGUAAUAGCUCACUGGUCGAGUCGGCCUGCGCGGAAGAUGUAACGGGGCUAAACCAUGCACCGAAGCUGCGGCAGCGAACGUAUCACCCAAGACAACUUUACGGAGUUGACGAUUGACGGAGCGAAGCGACGUCAAAGCGUUCAUUAAAGUCGAGUUGGCUUAGGGAUACGUUCGUUGGGUAGGGGAGCGUUCUGUAAGCCUGUGAAGGUGUGUCGUGAGGCAUGCUGGAGGUAUCAGAAGUGCGAAUGCUGACAUAAGUAACGAUAAAGCGGGUGAAAAGCCCGCUCGCCGGAAGACCAAGGGUUCCUGUCCAACGUUAAUCGGGGCAGGGUGAGUCGACCCCUAAGGCGAGGCCGAAAGGCGUAGUCGAUGGGAAACGGGUUAAUAUUCCCGUACUUGGUGUUACUGCGAAGGGGGGACGGAGAAGGCUAUGUUGGCCGGGCGACGGUUGUCCCGGUUUAAGCGUGUAGGUGUGUGUUCCAGGUAAAUCCGGUU